CGAGUAGGCGGCAGGUUGUAGCCCUGUGCAGGCGGGUUUAAGCCCCGUUCUUACCA
This 56-nucleotide transfer RNA is filed under the name Trachylepis albilabris (Guinea mabuya). Its description in RNAcentral is "partial tRNA-Tyr". The record is from RNAcentral. Lineage: Eukaryota; Metazoa; Chordata; Lepidosauria; Squamata; Scincidae.